RNAcentral lists this ribosomal RNA (447 nucleotides) under uncultured bacterium. Its description in RNAcentral is "bacterial SSU rRNA". It matches the Rfam family "Bacterial small subunit ribosomal RNA", at positions 355 to 825 of the family's 1533-position model. The record is from RNAcentral.
UAACGAAUCUUCCGCAAUGGGCGCAAGCCUGACGGAGCAAUGCCGCGUGUGGGAUGAAGCGUCUCUGACGUGUAAACCACUGUCAGGGGUUAGAAACAAUGAUCAACCCCAAAGGAAGUGGCGACUAACUCUGUGCCAGCAGUCGCGGUAAUACAGAGGCCACAAGCGUUAGUCGGAAUCACUGGGCUUAAAGGGUGCGUAGGCUGGUCCGCAAGCGUCUUGUGAAAGCCCUCGGCUCAACCGAGGAACAGCAGGGCGAACUGCGGAUCUUGAGGCAGGUAGGGGUCGCGAGAACAGUAGGUGGAGCGGUGAAAUGCGUAGAUAUCUACUGGAAUGCCGAUGGUGAAGACGCGCGACUGGGCCUGUCCUGACGCUGAGGCACGAAAGCGUGGGGAGCAAACAGGAUUAGAUACCCCGGUAGUCCCUGAGCGGGCUGGCAAGGCGCAU